Molecule: non-coding RNA, 72 nt
Organism: Phrynosoma platyrhinos (Desert horned lizard)
Lineage: Eukaryota; Metazoa; Chordata; Lepidosauria; Squamata; Phrynosomatidae
Source: the annotation of a GenBank genome assembly
GUCAGUGUGGUGUAGUGGUUUGAGUGCUGCAACUAUCACUCUGGAAACCAGGGUUCAAAUCCCUGCUCGACC